AGCUUUGCACAGUGGCAGUAUCAUAGCCAAGAAGGUUUAUCAGAGGCACAGUUACUGCUAAUUGAAACUAAUUAGAAGCCCUGCUUCAUCCUUCAGAUCUAUUUGAAUCCUCACAAAUGUA
Molecule: small nuclear RNA, 121 nt
Filed under: Erinaceus europaeus (western European hedgehog)
Lineage: Eukaryota; Metazoa; Chordata; Mammalia; Eulipotyphla; Erinaceidae
Description: U4 spliceosomal RNA (ENSEEUG00000022306.1)
Source: RNAcentral